This 468-nucleotide ribosomal RNA is filed under the name uncultured bacterium. Its description in RNAcentral is "partial 16S ribosomal RNA". It matches the Rfam family "Bacterial small subunit ribosomal RNA", at positions 28 to 507 of the family's 1533-position model. The record is from RNAcentral.
GACGAACGCUGGCGGCGUGCUUAACACAUGCAAGUCGAACGGAAAGGCCCUGCUUUUGUGGGGUGCUCGAGUGGCGAACGGGUGAGUAACACGUGAGUAACCUGCCCUUGACUUUGGGAUAACUUCAGGAAACUGGGGCUAAUACCGGAUAGGAGCUCCUGCUGCAUGGUGGGGGUUGGAAAGUUUCGGCGGUUGGGGAUGGACUCGCGGCUUAUCAGCUUGUUGGUGGGGUAGUGGCUUACCAAGGCUUUGACGGGUAGCCGGCCUGAGAGGGUGACCGGCCACAUUGGGACGGAGAUACGGCCCAGACUCCUACGGGAGGCAGCAGUGGGGAAUAUUGCACAAGGGGCGGAAGCCGGAUGCAGCAACGCCGCGUGCGGGAUGACGGCCUUCGGGUGGUAAACCGCUUUCGCCUGUGACGAAGCGUGAGUGACGGUAAUGGGUAAAGAAGCACCGGCUAACUACGUG